CUUCGCCGUCGCUUGGAACAGGUACUCCGACCACGCAUACGCAGCAGGCGGGACCCUCUCAGGGUCAAGCAGCGUGGGACUACUUCCAGUAGUUGACUGAGCUCCGCAGCAGAGCCGGAUCGUGCGCUUCCGAGCCUUGAGCCUUCGUAGGACUCUUUCUUCAUGUUAUUC
This is a long non-coding RNA of Prunus dulcis (almond), 171 nucleotides long. RefSeq lists it as uncharacterized. The transcript is spliced from 3 exons. The record is from RefSeq and is a predicted model, not a curated record. Lineage: Eukaryota; Viridiplantae; Streptophyta; Magnoliopsida; Rosales; Rosaceae.